This 296-nucleotide long non-coding RNA is filed under the name Hordeum vulgare. RNAcentral describes it as "long non-coding RNA (HVUL_LNC015038)". The record is from RNAcentral. Lineage: Eukaryota; Viridiplantae; Streptophyta; Magnoliopsida; Poales; Poaceae.
UUUCCCCAACAAUGACAUAAUUAGCCCAUUUAGCUCCAAAAUGCCAUAAUAAGCUGAAAAUGGCAUAAGAACCUUGGUUAGCUCAUUAAUAUUAUAUGCUUAGCUUGUUUUCCUCUAAAAUGAGAUAAUUAGCCCAUUUAGCUCCAAAAAGACAUAGUUAGCUAAUUUAACUCCAGGAAGAUGAGAAGAGAAGAAAUAGGAAAAACGGAAAGAAAGAAAGAAGAAGAAGAAGAAGAAGAAGAAGAAGAAGAAGAAGAAGAAGGAGAAGGAGGAGGAGUAGGAGGAGGAGGAGAAGG